RNAcentral lists this ribosomal RNA (811 nucleotides) under uncultured Pseudomonadota bacterium. Its description in RNAcentral is "bacterial SSU rRNA". It matches the Rfam family "Bacterial small subunit ribosomal RNA", at positions 58 to 847 of the family's 1533-position model. Lineage: Bacteria; Pseudomonadati; Pseudomonadota. The record is from RNAcentral.
CAAGUCGAACGCGAAAGGGGCUUCGGCCCUGAGUAGAGUGGCAAACGGGUGAGUAACACGUGGGUGACCUGCCUUCGAGUGGGGGAUAACGUCCCGAAAGGGACGCUAAUACCGCAUGACAUCCUGCCUUUGGAGAGGCGGAGAUCAAAGCCGGGGAUCGCAAGACCUGGCGCUUGAAGAGGGGCCCGCGCCUGAUUAGCUAGUUGGUGGGGUAAUGGCUCACCAAGGCGACGAUCAGUAUCCGGCCUGAGAGGGCGGACGGACACACUGGGACUGAGACACGGCCCAGACUCCUACGGGAGGCAGCAGUGGGGAAUUGUUCGCAAUGGGCGCAAGCCUGACGACGCAACGCCGCGUGGAGGACGAAGAUCUUCGGGUCGUAAACUCCUGUCGAGCGGGAAGAAACCCGCGGGGACGAAUAGUCCCUGCGGCUGACGGUACCGCUAAAGGAAGCCCCGGCUAACUCCGUGCCAGCAGCCGCGGUAAUACGGGGGGGGCAAGCGUUGUUCGGAAUUACUGGGCGUAAAGGGCUCGUAGGCGGCCAACUAAGUCGGAUGUGAAAUCCCCAGGCUCAACCUGGGAACUGCAUCCGAUACUGGAUGGCUUGAAUCCGGGAGAGGGAUGCAGAAUUCCAGGUGUAGCGGUGAAAUGCGUAGAUAUCUGGAGGAAUACCGGUGGCGAAGGCGGCAUCCUGGACCGGCAUUGACGCUGAGGAGCGAAAGCCAGGGGAGCAAACGGGAUUAGAUACCCCGGUAGUCCUGGCCCUAAACGAUGAAUGCUUGGUGUGACGGGUAUCGAUCCCUGUCGUGCC